GGGUUGUGAGGUUAAGCGACUAAGCGUACACGGUGGAUGCCCUGGCAGUCAGAGGCGAUGAAGGGCGUGCUAAUCUGCGAUAAGCGCCGGUAAGGUGAUAUGAACCGUUAUAACCGGCGAUACCCGAAUGGGGAAACCCAGUGUGAUUCGUCACACUAUCAUUAACUGAAUCCAUAGGUUAAUGAGGCGAACCGGGGGAACUGAAACAUCUAAGUACCCCGAGGAAAAGAAAUCAACCGAGAUUCCCCCAGUAGCGGCGAGCGAACGGGGAGGAGCCCAGAGCCUGAAUCAGCAUGUGUGUUAGUGGAAGCGUCUGGAAAGGCGCGCGAUACAGGGUGACAGCCCCGUACACAAAAGCGUAUGUGCUGUGAGCUCGAUGAGUAGGGCGGGACACGUGGUAUCCUGUCUGAAUAUGGGGGGACCAUCCUCCAAGGCUAAAUACUCCUGACUGACCGAUAGUGAACCAGUACCGUGAGGGAAAGGCGAAAAGAACCCCGGCGAGGGGAGUGAAAAAGAACCUGAAACCGUGUACGUACAAGCAGUGGGAGCACCCUUUGG
RNAcentral lists this ribosomal RNA (558 nucleotides) under Salmonella enterica subsp. enterica serovar Muenchen. RNAcentral's name for it is "partial 23S ribosomal RNA". It matches the Rfam family "Bacterial large subunit ribosomal RNA", at positions 1 to 591 of the family's 2925-position model. RNAcentral also lists the same sequence under 2 other names. Lineage: Bacteria; Pseudomonadati; Pseudomonadota; Gammaproteobacteria; Enterobacterales; Enterobacteriaceae. The record is from RNAcentral.